UACGUAGGGGGCGAGCGUUGUCCGGAAUUACUGGGCGUAAAGCGCACGUAGGCGGCUUUCUAAGUCGGGGGUGAAAUCCUGGAGCUCAACUCCAGAACUGCCUUCGAUACUGGAGAGCUCGAGUCCGGGAGAGGUGAGUGGAACUGCGAGUGUAGAGGUGAAAUUCGUAGAUAUUCGCAAGAACACCAGUGGCGAAGGCGGCUCACUGGCCCGGUACUGACGCUGAGGUGCGAAAGCGUGGGGAGCAAACAGG
This 253-nucleotide ribosomal RNA is filed under the name uncultured bacterium. Its description in RNAcentral is "partial 16S ribosomal RNA". It matches the Rfam family "Bacterial small subunit ribosomal RNA", at positions 524 to 776 of the family's 1533-position model. The record is from RNAcentral.